GGAGGUGGAUGCCCAGGACGAGCUUUGAGGUGGAGAGAGGGAUGUCAUGGCUCAUCCUCCAGUUUCCAAGUAAAAACCUUCCGGCCAAUCUUGGCCGCGCGUCCUGGUGUAGCGAGCGGGCUUGGAGGAGCUCACCGCUGCUGUCAUGGUUCGUUUGCUAAACUGCAUCGUCGCUGUGUCUCAGAACAUGGGCAUCGGCAAGAACGGGGACCUGCCCUGACCGCCGCUCAGGAAUGAAUUUAGGUAUUUCCAGAGAAUGACACAAUCUCUUCAGUAGAAGGUAAACAGAAUCUGGUGAUUUUGUGUAGGAAGACCUGGUUCUCCAUUCCUGGGAAGAAUCGACCUUCAAAGGAUAGAAUUAAUUUAGUUCUCAGCAGAGAACUCAAGGAACCUCCACAACGAGCUCAUUUUCUUGCCAGAAGUCUGGUUGAGAUCUUAAAACUUACUUAACAACCAGAAUUAGCAAAUAGAGUAGACAUGAUUUGGAUAGUUGGUGGCAGUUCUGUUUAUAAGGAAGCCAUGAGUCGCCCAGGCCAUCUUAAACUAUUUGUGACAAAGAUCAUGCAGGACUUUGAAAGUGACACGUUUUUUCCAGAAAUUGAUUUGGAGAAAUAUAAAAUUCUGCCAGAAUAUCCAGGCGUUCUCUCGGAUGUAUUAAGUACAAAUUUCAAGUAUAUGAGAAGAAUGAUUAAUAUGAAGGUGUUUUCUGGUUUAUUUUAAGUUGUUCCCCCUCCCUCUGAAAAAAAGUUUAUAUUUUUACAUUAGAAAAAAAGACUUUUGUUGACUUUAGAUCUUUGGAUAAUUAUUUCUAAGCAACAUGUUUUUACUCCCCACUAAUCUUGACUAUAUCAGAUACCACUUAUGAAAUAUUCUUGCUAUAAUUAAGUGCCUCUCCAAGACCCUGACUGAGUCCCCAGCACCUGCUACAGUGAGCUGCCAUUCCACACCCAUCGCAUAUGGGACUCUUGCCAGUCCUUGACAUUGUCGGGCUUUUCAAAUGUUGGUAGUAUUUCUUAAAGAUGAAGAUGCACAUACCCUCCAACUGAGAAGUUUCACUAGUGGGAAAUACCGAAAGCUCCUUACGUGUAUACCCAGAGGUUUGCACGCAAAUGUUGCAGCCUUGUUUGUAACAGUGAAAAAUUGAAAACAACCUGGAAGUCCAGUGAUGGGAAAAUGAAUAUAUUUCUGUCUUUUGGGGAACCCAAAGCAGGUUCCAAGACUGCAAUUUCAGUGAAAGCAGUUUAUUUUCUAGGUCUUACCAGAAAUCAUCAAUUGAGGUACGGAGAAAUGGAACUGAGAAGAGUUUCGCUCUUGUUACCCUGACGGAGUGCAAUGGCACAACUUCAGCUCACUGCAACCUCUGACUUCCCAGGUUCAAAUGAUUCUCCUGCCUCAGGCUCCCAUGUAGCUGGGACUACAGGCACGUGCCACGACGCCUGGCUAAUUUUGUGUUUUUGGUGAAGACGGGGUUUCACAAUGUUGGUCAGGCUGGUCUCAAACUCCUGACCUAAAGUGAUCCGCCUGCCUCGGCCUCCCAAAGUGCUGGGAUUAUAGGCUUGAGCCACCCCAGAUCUUUAUUCUUUUUAUGUAGUAAAAAGUAUAAAGCCACGCAUGGUUUAUUUGAAAUAUUUUAUGUUUUAAAAAAAUACAGAAGCAGGAAAACCAAUUCUAAGUUCAAGUGAGGGAUGAUGGUAGUUUGAACCAAAGGGUUGCAUGUAGUAAGAAACUGUGAUUUAAGAUAUAUUUUAAAGUCAGAAGUAGCAGGAUAUUCUGAUGGAGUUUGCCCUGGGUUUGGGCCCACUGAGUUUGAGAUGCCUUUGAGAAAUGAAGAAAGUAGAGAGAGAAUAAAAGAAAAACUGGCCAGGCACAGUGGCUCAUGCCUGUAAUACAGUGGCUCAGCAUUUUGGGAGGCAGAGACAGGCAGAUACCUUGAGAUCAGCUUGGGCAACAUGGUGAAGCCCCAUCUCUACAAAAAAUACAAAAGUUAGCUGGGCAUUGUGGCGCACACCUGUAGUCCCAUCUACUCAGGGAGCUGAGAUGGAAGGAUCAAUUGAGCCUGCGAGUUCGAGGCUGCAGUGAGUUGUGAUUGUGCCACUGCACUCCAGCCUGGGUGACAGAAGAGACCUUGUCUCGAAAAAGAAGCUGAAAACAAUGGAACCAUGCCUUCAGAAUUCCAGAAAGAAAGUUAUUUUCAACGAAUAAAUCUAUAUUCAGCCAAAUAAUCAAGGGUGAAGAGACGAGGUUCUCACAAUGUUGUUCAAGCUGGUCUCCAACUCCUGAUCUCAAGCAAUCCUCUUGCCUUAGCGUCCUGAAUUGCUGGGAUUACAGGGGUGAGCUGUCAUGCCCAGCUUGUAAUGUACUGACACCUUCAAGAUUUCCUUCUCCAAGUGUGGACACAGCAGCAGACGCCCCUUGUCUCUUGGGUCAGGACACUGGGUAGAGUGGAAGAGCAAGACAACAAAGUCACUGCAGAAAGCAUACAUGUGGAAGAGGUCCAGCAGGGAGGGCCAGCUGUCCCAGGGACACCAUAUUUAGGGAUAACUCCUCUUUCUGGGCAGGACUGUUCUUUGAUUACUUUUAUAUUCACGAUAGUUCUGAAAUCGUAGGAUGAUGAUACUCAAGACUGGCUAGGAUUUGUUUUCAAAAAACCAUCUCCGAGACUUGUCGAUCUUUUGAAUGGUUUUUAGUGUCACAAUUUCCUUCAGAACUUAACUCAUUCUUAACAUUUCACAGACUACUUUCAGUUAAUAAUGUACUAGUGCCCAUAAAUAUAGAAAUAUUGCAACCAUUUAUCCUCUAUAAAAUGUCCAUCUUUUAUGGUAUAGAUAUUAUAUGUAAUAUAUCUAUAUAGGUUGUAAGUCCCACGAUAAAAAACUUUUUCUUAUCUUUAAACAGUUCUAUGUAUAUAAAGUAAGAAUAAAUGAGGAGAGCAAGAUAGCCUUUUGCACUUAGCUCAAUAUUUACCAUUUUUGAUCAUCUUCAUCUUUUUUGAUAAUCUCAUUUUCCACCUGGUAUCAUUUGCCUCUAGUCUGAAGAAUUUUCUUUACCAAUUGUAAUUGUACAGAUCUGCUGGUGACAAAUUCUUUUAAUUUUCUUUUACCUGAAAUAUCUCAUUUGCCUAUCCUUGAAGGACAUCUAUGCUGGAUAUAGAAUUCUUAGUUGAUCUUUUUGUCUUCCAGCACUUUAAAGAUGUUAUUCUACUUUCUUUUGUUUCUAUGGUUUC
Molecule: long non-coding RNA, 3223 nt
Organism: Homo sapiens (human)
Lineage: Eukaryota; Metazoa; Chordata; Mammalia; Primates; Hominidae
Source: Ensembl